GGCGGAGGAGAGCAGUGACUGACUGCCCGAGGCCGGGCACGGGCGCCGGGAGCCCUGAGCUGGCAGCAGCCGCCCGCGGGCUCCGCGCAGCAUGAGCUGGUGCGGCAGCGGUGAAGGGUGGAGUUGGGCUCCCUUCGUGGAAGGUCCCAGUACUUCCAGGCAGCAGAACCAGCCUCAAGGGCACUAUGGACUUACCUCUCCAAUUAGCUUGGCUCCUCCUAGUGACAAAGACCACAUCCAUACUCAGAAGCUGAUUGAAGCAAUGAAGCCAUUUGGGGUGUUUGAGGAUCAGGAAGAACUCUAUCACAGGACAACUGUUCUUGGUAAACUGAAUAACUUUGUUAGAGAAUGGAUUUCAGAGCUUGCUGAAAGCAAGAAUCUUCCCCCUUCAAUAACAGAGCAAGUUGGUGGCAAAAUAUUUACAUUUGGCUCCUACAGACUUGGAGUACACACCAAAGGUUCAGACAUAGAUGCUCUUUGUGUUGCUCCCAGUCACGUGGAAAGAUCAGAUUUUUUUCAGUCAUUCUUUGAAAAACUGAAGAAUCAAGAGGAAGUAAAAAACCUGAGAGCCAUUGAGGAUGCAUAUGUACCUGUUAUCAAAUUUGAAUUUGAUGGCAUUGAGAUUGAUCUGGUGUUUGCAAAGCUCUCUUUGCCCACGGUUUCUGAUGAUCUCGAUCUCAGGGAUGACUCGUGCCUCAAAAGCCUGGACAUAAGAUGCAUACGGAGCCUGAAUGGCAGCAGGGUUACGGAUGAAAUACUGCGCCUGGUGCCCAACCUGGAGAACUUCCGGCUCACGCUCCGUGCGGUUAAACUGUGGGCAAAACGACGUGGUGUUUACUCCAACAUCAUGGGAUUUCUUGGUGGAGUCUCCUGGGCCAUGCUGGUAGCAAGAAUAUGUCAACUCUACCCAAAUGCUUUGGCCUCUACUCUCGUUAACAAGUUCUUCUUGAUUUUUUCAAAAUGGGAUUGGCCAAAGCCAGUAUUGCUGAAACGACUUGAAGAGAGCUUCCUUAAUUUACCAGUCUGGGACCCUAGGGUGAACCCUUCAGACAGGUACCACGUGAUGCCCAUCAUCACCCCGGCCUAUCCACAGCAGAACUCCACGUACAACGUGUCUGUGUCAACACGAGCAGUCAUGGUAGAGGAGUUCCAACGUGGUCUUGAAGUUACAGAUGAGAUUCUCAAAGGAAAAUCAGACUGGCCAAAGCUCUUUGAACCACUGAACUUCUUUCAGAAGUACAAACAUUACAUUGUGCUGACUGCCAGUGCCUUUACAGAAGAGCAUCACCUAAACUGGAUUGGCCUCGUUGAGUCUAAAAUCCGUGUGCUGGUUGGAAACUUGGAGAGGAAUGAAUUUAUAACUAUAGCACACGUGCAGCCACAGUCUUUCCCUGGCAAUGAAGUUCUCUAUAAACAGAGUGGAUAUGUAUCAAUGUGGUUUCUUGGGCUUGUGUUUAAGAAGGCAGAAAGUGCAGUAAAGACUAACGUUGAUCUAACACAUGGGAUACAGUCAUUCACAGAUACAGUUUACAGGCAGGCCAGUGCCCUCAACAUCCUAAAGGAAGGUAUGAAGAUUGAGGCAACUUAUGUGAAGAGAAAGCAACUCCAUUAUUUUUUGCCAGCAGGAACCUUACAGAAAAGAAAGAAGCAAAGGGUGUCAGAUAUUAGUCAAAAUAAUAGUGGACUUCAGUGCAAAAGGUCUUCUUUAGGUGAAAGCUGUUUGGAUGGUUCCCAAGACAGAGAUUCCAGAACACCCUCUAAUUCCUCUUCGUUAAAUAAGAUAUCUAAGUUGGACAUCUCUACAGCAGAGACAGAAAGAAAUGUUGAAUGUCAGAGUUGUAGUGGUGCCAACAGUGUAGCUGAGCCAUCCACGUCUAAGGGACUUUGCAUUCCUGUCACUGACCCAAAAAUGGAGGCUACAGUUGCACUAAGAGCAUCGGGACCUCCCACGGGUUGCACCAUUCCAGGAUAUAACACGGUUUGUCAACUCAGAACGUGUUUUGUGCAAGGACAGCAUAAACUAAGUGGGACUCUAAUCACGGAUCCUAGGAGUGCUUCACCUGAGCAGCAUUUUUCACCAACCUCUAAAGUAUCUCGUCCACCCGCAUCAGGAGAAUGCCCCCAAAAAGCCAUAGAUGGAGAAAAGCUAAACGUGUGGGACUCAGAUUUCACAGAAAGUGGAUACACUCAAGAUGGGAGGAAGAGCACUACAAAAAAUGGUGUCCUUGAUGGAAAAUCCAUGCAGAUUCCAGUGAUCACAUCAAGAUCACAGAGGCUUUCCAGUAAAGAACUGCCAGAUUCUUCAUCUCCUGUUCCAACAAAUAGCAUUCGUAUUAUUAAAAGAUCCAUCAAACUUACCCUUAAUGGGUAAGUGGUUGAUCUUCAGUGCAGAUGGGAUCUGCUUAAAAAAAUCUAAACAACUAAACCAACUCUAAAGGGAUGGGAGGAAGGCAGUGCCAGAGAAAAGCAUUCUACAGAAUUUUAAUGUCAUAGAAUCAUUUAGGUUGGAAAAAAACCUUUAAGUUAGAGUCCAGCUAACCUAACACUGUAAACCUAACAUUGCCAAGUCCACCACUAGACUGCCAUGCUAGAGGUUUUAAGAAGAAUGUUCAGGGUUUUGAGAAGAACAUUCAGGAAGAAUUUAGGUUACUAGUUUCUCAGACUUGAUCCAUUGGUGAAUUACACGUCUUAUCUUAAUGUGUCUUGACAUAUAAGGAUGUCAAGUGUGAUGUCAAGUGACGUCAGUGUUCUGGAGUUUCCCUGGAUGCUGCAGAAGUUCGAUGCUGCCCCAGGACUCUGCAGAUUAGAAUUCAGCUGUUUGUAAAUAAAGUUCAAACUUACUCAA
Passer domesticus (house sparrow) is the source of this 2845-nucleotide RNA transcript. It is a transcript of the gene named poly(A) polymerase gamma, with no coding region annotated. Lineage: Eukaryota; Metazoa; Chordata; Aves; Passeriformes; Passeridae. The record is from RefSeq and is a predicted model, not a curated record. The transcript is spliced from 24 exons.